AACGAACGCUGGCGGCGUGCUUAACACAUGCAAGUCGAGUGCGCGUCUGUAGCAAUACAGAUGGCGCACGGCGCACGGGUGCGUAACACGUGGGCAAUCUGCCCUUCGAUGGGGAAUAUCUUCGGGAAACCGAAGCGAAUUCCGCAUAACAUUCCUUGGACUUCGGUUCGAGGACUCAAAGCCGUAAGGCGUCGAAGGAGGAGCCCGCGCACGAUUAGCUAGUUGGUAGGGUAACGGCCUACCAAGGCUUUGAUCGUUAGCUGGUCUGAG
This 270-nucleotide ribosomal RNA is filed under the name uncultured bacterium. Its description in RNAcentral is "partial 16S ribosomal RNA". It matches the Rfam family "Bacterial small subunit ribosomal RNA", at positions 29 to 296 of the family's 1533-position model. The record is from RNAcentral.